RNAcentral lists this ribosomal RNA (527 nucleotides) under [Eubacterium] brachy. RNAcentral describes it as "bacterial SSU rRNA". It matches the Rfam family "Bacterial small subunit ribosomal RNA", at positions 373 to 908 of the family's 1533-position model. Lineage: Bacteria; Bacillati; Bacillota; Clostridia; Peptostreptococcales; Anaerovoracaceae. The record is from RNAcentral.
GGGGGAAACCCUGAUGACAGACAACGACCGCGUGAACGAUGGAAGGCCUUUGGGGCGUAAAGUUCUGUUCUAGGUGAUGAAAACUGACAGUAACCUAGGAGAAAGCCCCGGCUAACUCCGUGCCAGCAGCCGCGGUAAUACGGAGGGGGCAAGCGUUAUCCGGAAUUAUUGGGCGUAAAGGGUACGUAGGUGGCCUUUUAAGCGUAGGGUAUAAGGCAAUGGGCUCAACCAUUGUUUCGCCCUAUGAACUGGAAGGCCUUGAAUUGCAGGAGAGGAAAGCGGAAUUCCUAGUGUAGCGGUGGAAUGCAUAGAUAUUAGGAGGAACAUCAGUGGCGAAGGCGGCUUUCUGGACUGCAACUGACACUGAGGUACGAAAGCGUGGGGAGCAAACAGGAUUAGAUACCCUGGUAGUCCACGCCGUAAACGAUGAGCACUAGGUGUCGGGGUCGUAAGGCUUCGGUGCCGUAGUUAACGCAUUAAGUGCUCCGCCUGGGGGAGUACGCACGCCAAGUGUGAAACUCAAGGGA